UUAGUCACGAGGAAAGUCCGAGCAUCGCAGAACAGGGUGCUGGAGAAAUCCCAGUGAGGGUGACCUUAAGGAAAGUGCAACAGAAAAUAACCGCCACUUUGUGGUAAGGGUGAAAAAGUGAGGUAAGAGCUCACUAAGAUUAGGGUGAUCUAAUCGUUGUGUAAACCCCAUCUGAUGCAAGGUAAUGACUUUAGUGGAUUGUUCGUCCCACAGUCUAUACACCGCUUGAACUUAAUGGCAACAUUAAGUCUAGAUAGAUGUUUGUCUAAUACAGAACUCGGCUUAUAGAAUAAC
This 294-nucleotide RNase P RNA is filed under the name human gut metagenome. RNAcentral's name for it is "Bacterial RNase P class A". It matches the Rfam family "Bacterial RNase P class A", at positions 35 to 354 of the family's 367-position model. Rfam says of the family: Ribonuclease P (RNase P) is a ubiquitous endoribonuclease, found in archaea, bacteria and eukarya as well as chloroplasts and mitochondria. Its best characterised activity is the generation of mature 5'-ends of tRNAs by cleaving the 5'-leader elements of precursor-tRNAs. Cellular RNase Ps are ribonucleoproteins. The record is from RNAcentral.